This 3513-nucleotide long non-coding RNA is filed under the name Lepisosteus oculatus (spotted gar). RNAcentral describes it as "lncRNA (ENSLOCG00000022923.1)". The record is from RNAcentral. Lineage: Eukaryota; Metazoa; Chordata; Actinopteri; Semionotiformes; Lepisosteidae.
GCAGUCCAUGGCUUCAGAGUUCACGACCAUCCAGGUCUUCAAGGUUCCCAGCAUCCUCCCUGCUGACCGCAUGACUGAUAAGUUGAUGAUUCACUUCCUGCGGCCAAGGAAUGGGGGAGGAGAAGUGCUGGGAGUAAAGUUCCCUAUGAGCACCCCAGGACAGGCACUGGUGACUUUUGAACUCCUGGAAGUGGCUGAUCGUGUUUUACAGCGGGACCAUGUCCUGGAGCUGGAGGGACAGAGGUUCCCCUUGGAGCUCAAGAAACUAGAGAUUGACAUUCCAGCAGAGACAAAUCUAGAUCUCCAGAUGUUUCCAGACCAAAGUUCUGUAUGGGAGUUGCUUCAGCGACAUCGUUUCAGAGUGACACAUGGCAGCCCUGGGCAACUGCACCUGCAAGGGACCUUCCUAGGCCUGAGUGUGUUACGGACUCAGCUGCAAGAACUGCUGCUCACUGCACCCCCUGCCCGUGUGCGUGGCCCCCCUCAUCAUCACUACCCCCUGAAAGAGCAGGAGUAUUUAGGAACGCUCCACAUCAAUGGGUACGCUGCUGGGUCCAAAACCAAGGUUUCUCAGGAAUCCACCAUGCUUUUAAAGCAAAAUGGAGCUGUGGACAUAGGUGGGACUCAUCACAGUAGAAGCCCUCCAUUUACUGGAAGCACAAUCCCCAGCCGUGAGUCUCUGCGUAGUCCUGCUGCCACUGCAGUGUUGUCUGGCUCCUUUGAAUCUUCCUCUUUCACUUACCCCUCCCCUAGCAGGUCUGGGGACUCAUCCCAUGAGUGGUUAGAGUCUUUCCGCAGUGAUGCCAGCACCCCAAGGCACAGGGCUGACCUCUCCUUCAGCGCCUCUUCUUCCCAGAGUCACUCCCCUCGUUCCAGUGCCCACCCUCAGACAUCCUUCGUCAUCGACACACACGUAAUCCGCUAUGCCCAAAGAUUCAAGAGUGUGGAUGUGCAAGAGAUCUUGAAGAAACAUUCUUUAAGAAUGAAUGUGCAAGGAGAAGGCUCUGAAUUGAGCACUGUAACGCUGCUCCCUGCUUUUUAUGAGGCUGAGAGGGGCACACAGAGAACUCUUCAGAGCACCUUGAAGAGUGCCUGUGAUGAGCUGUCCAGCUUCCUGUCUCUGGUCGGCCAAUCUCUGCGCACGCAGGAGGUACACCUGUCCUCAUGUGACCAUGAUCAGCGGGCUGCAAUCGCUAAGAGUAUUCCAGUGCUGGCAGAAGUCUACUCUGUGCUUGUCAAGCAACGGGGGGACACCAUCUAUCUGGUGGGAUCCUCCAGAGGGAGCUACGAGAUGAAGCUGAGGUUGCUGGGAGAGGAGCUCAGUUUGCCAGGUGUGGGUCGCGAGGGGAGGGGGGUGCGACCCGGCAGGACUGUCACACGGAGCUCCUCUCUGCCUCGCACGCCCAGUAGGACAGGAGUCCGGGUACCUGAACAGGGAUCUCCCAGAGCUCAGGGGUAUUCUCCCAGUAAGUACCAGAAAGAGGACGUGGGACCUGGGAAGCAGAUGCAGGAGAUGGCUGCAUUAAUGCCUUGUGCAGACAGAGAGGUCCCAAGAAGGAGAAGCCACUCUGAGACCCGUAAUAAGCAUUUGAUAGAAAGACCAGUACAGGGUGAGAGCAGCCUAAGAAACAUGCAGUCUGGUAUACAGAAACAUGUAGGGCUGGACCCUGUAACAAUGCAGAGGACUGAGAGACAAAGUAGAAAAACACCAACAAUACUAAAAUCACUGGGUGAUUUGUCAAAACAAAAACAAAAAGUGAUGAAGCAUAAAUGACCAAAGUCUGUGGAUGUGUAUGUUCUUUUACAGCUGUGCCUGAGCAAAACUAAUGUGUACAAGUAUGUAUUACCUAAGGAAUUGAGAGUUAAAACUUGCUAAUGGUAUGAAAAUAAGAGUCUAGGCUGUGUUUUUAACUUCUCAAAAUUACGACAGCCCAAUUUCAGUGCUUCAGCUGCAUUGUGAAACAUGUGGACUGUAGAGAAAAUUGCUUGUGCAUGCCUAACAAGUCAGCGAGAGUGAGAGUAUGACAUUUCAGAAUGGGGUACAGCAGGCAAAAAGCCUGGCCAAUAAAUACCCUUUUCUCACAAGAAUUAAAAAAACUGAAUCUCAGUACUGUUCCUUCUUUAAAUACCAACAUUUUCAGGGCAUGUUCUCUCUCUGUGAUGUUCCUACAUCACUUUACAAAACCAUUAAAAGCCCAAGGAUUUGUGUGCCAAGGCUGACCAGCACCUCACUCUCUUGAACACAACUGAACACAAUUAAAAAUAGCUGUGAACUGUCCUUGAUACAACUUAUUGUAAAUAUUGUCAUUUCCUACUAUUGUGAUGACUCACUCAUGACCAACAGAAUCGUUUGUAUAAUACACUCAUGUGCUAAAAUAUUUGGUAUCCCUACCAAUUAACAUGCUGAGCCUCAGCAAGUUGUUAAAAAAUAUGAACAGUUUUCUUGAAUUCCACAAGACUUUAAGACACUUCAGGCAGCUUUCAGAAAUGAUUGGGAGUGUUCGGUAUUCAGUAAAAUAAUGAUGUGUGGGACUGACCUGCUCAACCCAUAAUUUUCAACAGGAUUAAGGUUCAGGGCUUAAUCAGAUGCUGAUGGAAGUCUGUCUCUUGUCCUGAAGAUGACUAUGGAUUGUACUCAGGCUGCUCAUUUGCCUUAAUAUUUUAUUCAGUGAGUGUAUAGAAAGAAGACUGUACCAUGUCUUGUGAAGGUGUUGAUUAAGGUAAAUUAAAGUUUCCAGCACCAUGUUUAGAAGCUGCUAGCUGUAGUAUCUGUGGCAUUUUAAAGGAAAAGGAUUGCAUAAUCCAGCCUCAUUGUUCUACGCAUUUGAAAAUAAUUAUAUUUUACAUAUGUUAUACCAAUGGAGCUGUAUGUUUUGAUGUUAAGAUUACGAAGUAAAGUCUUCAUUGAAAUUAAGUGUUUACUCCUUUUGUGUGUUUCAAAGCCUUUCAGUAUAUGUACCGAAAUCUUCAGAAUUUAGGGGCUUUGAAGUGCGAAAUGCAAACUGAAACAAAACAAAAAGAAAACAACACUUAACAUGCAUACCACAAAAGAAAAAAGAAACUGAAAUAGUCCAUGAUGUGUUUUCAGUGACUCUAAAAUGGCAGGAAAGGUGUCAGAUCAUGUUGACUGUAGCCAUUUGUGUUCACAGUAACUAAAAUGAUACAAAUACAAAUAAUUGUUUCAGUAAUCACAAACAUUAAAAUAUUACAUUAAAAUGUAGAAUCUUUAAAGGACACAAGCAAAAAAGCAAGCAAACUUUCCCCCAGUAUCUCCAUUAUUUGUGAUUGGCAAGAACACAUAACAAGACCACAGCUGAGACAAAACAAUCACCUUGUGCCUAAGGAGUACCUCAAAACGGGCAACUCACAUUGUGCAUUGAAAAAUGUGAGUCCCAUACACAUUCGUUUUACUGUUAACAACAGUGAUCAUGUCUGAAAAUCCAGCAUGUCUGCCAGCUUUUUUACAGAACUGCACAAAUGUAAGAAGAGCUAUUAAAAAUUCACUUACUGUCA